This 253-nucleotide ribosomal RNA is filed under the name uncultured bacterium. Its description in RNAcentral is "partial 16S ribosomal RNA". It matches the Rfam family "Bacterial small subunit ribosomal RNA", at positions 524 to 776 of the family's 1533-position model. The record is from RNAcentral.
UACGAAGGGGGCUAGCGUUGUUCGGAAUUACUGGGCGUAAAGCGUGCGCAGGCGGUUGUGCAAGACAGAUGUGAAAUCCCCGGGCUCAACCUGGGAAUUGCAUUUGUGACUGCACGGCUAGAGUGUGUCAGAGGGGGGUAGAAUUCCACGUGUAGCAGUGAAAUGCGUAGAGAUGUGGAGGAAUACCGAUGGCGAAGGCAGCCCCCUGGGAUAACACUGACGCUCAUGCACGAAAGCGUGGGGAGCAAACAGG